This is a long non-coding RNA of Stylophora pistillata, 1566 nucleotides long. NCBI's taxonomy places the organism in Eukaryota, Metazoa, Cnidaria, Anthozoa, Scleractinia, Pocilloporidae. The record is from RefSeq and is a predicted model, not a curated record.
UUCCUUACCAGGCCCUUUCCUUCUAUCAAUAUGGCGGUAGAGAGGGACAUAUAAAACAACAAGCAGUGGAUGAAGGUGAUUCUGCGUAGCAGUAUUAUAGAUUGCUAAAUGGCUCCAAUGUAUGAAUCUGGAAUGCGAAUGGUCGCUAUCGGAUGGGUUGUGAUAGUCACAAGUGGAAUAUCCUCUUUUAUUUUCCUCAAGAGAUAUGUAGACAAAAAGAGACUUGAACUAAUCAAGGCAAAACAAAGAGAAAGAAUGCUGGAAGCACAAAAGGAAACCAAAGGAGAGUGAGAGGAAAGAGCAGUUUAAUGCCAAAGAAACACAGAAUGGAAAAUUGGGAACAAAAUCAACAAAGGUCUACUUUAUGGUUACAUGUCUGAAAUCCUGUGUGGGGUCACAGAAGUGUAACCAUGAGGUGGGCAUUUUCAAGUCAGCCAUCACUUCACUCUGUGUUAUUUACAUGCAGAGAAAACAGACUUUGUCCUUUAAAACCUUAAAGGGUGCGUGACCAACAUCCAAUUUCUCUUUACAGUUAAACUGCUGAAUCAUUCACCAACCAAAGAAGCAUAAAUUGUCAAACAAAUUCUCCUAGUCAGUAUGAAAGGAAAUGUAUUUGGAAACUGAUGUUAGGCAGAAAGGGUUAAUAAAAUUCAGUUUUAAAACCAACUAGGGAUUUUGGACAAACAGUGUUUAGCAAUGUAAGAGUAUUGGUAGAACUGAAGUUCACGCUUUAAACCCUUAGAGUGACUAACGUCUAAUUUCUUCUUACAGUAAUUCUGUUUAAUCAUGAGAAUAAAGGAAAAAUUACCAACCAAAGAAGCUUGCAGCUAAUUAGUGAGCAUAUAAAAGGGCCUCGUGUUGAAACGAUCAGAUCACCCCCAAUAGAGGCACCAGUCAGGAGUUUCGUAACAUUAGGCCAAUGAAUUAUAAUUUUGGUUACAUUCAUUAACUCUUUAAACCAGAGUAGCAUCAAACCAUGUCUGAUUGUCCUCUAGGUUGCUGUGUGAACUUCAAUAAAUCAAGCUUUGAUUGUUAAACAAAUUCUCCUUGUUAGUACCAAAGGAAAUGUUCAGAAAACAGUAUGGAGAAUACGGAUACCGAUCUUAGGGUGUGUAUGGUUAAUCAACAACUAAUUUACAUUAGGAGUGUAAUCUUCUAAGAAACAUUACUGUUAGAAGUUGUAGAGUGCAAGUACCUCCACUGAAUGGGUAAAACAAAAUUGUGGUUACAGGAAGUUUACACCUCCAAGGUUUUUAUUUCUUUAUUGUUUUAUUGUUUGUUUGUUUUUUUCUUGCAUUCAGGUGCAUUUCAAUUGUUUUGAGGGUGAAAGGGAGUUAGAAAUUCUCCUGCUGGUUUAAUAUGAAUUUCCCUCCCCCUUAGAUUUAUAACCAUAAUCCAAACCUGAAAAGAAAACACUUAGAUUUCAUUGCAAACUUUUAUGGCAAUAUUAAUAUUAGUCUUUUCUCCUUCUUUUUCCCUCUGAUUGGCUGUUGCAAUAAAACUGCAGCUCGUCAGAUAGUGUUACAUGUAAAUGGUAUUGAUUUGAAUAUAAAGCUGUGGUAUCCA